Long non-coding RNA from Bos taurus (domestic cattle), 1155 nucleotides. NCBI's taxonomy places the organism in Eukaryota, Metazoa, Chordata, Mammalia, Artiodactyla, Bovidae. The record is from Ensembl.
AUGAAAAUAAACAAACAACAAACCCCACAAAGAAUGGACUGUAGCCCGCCAGGCUCCUCUGUCCCUGGAACUCUCCAGAAUAGACCAUAGCCCGCCAGCCUCUUCCGUCCCUGGGACUCUCCAGGCAAGAACACUGGAGCCGGCUGCUGGGCCACCUCGGCGGUCCCCGGCAGGAGGCUCUGGGGUCCGCGAUCAACUCGAGCCCGCCGCGCCGUCGCCGGCGUCCAGCAGGGGGCGCUGCACCCCGGCUCGCCGGCCCUCUCUUCCCCGCCGAGGCCGCCGAGACGCCGGCCAGUCGGGGAGCGGGUCUGCGCGCGCACGUUCUCGGGCGGCCGCCGUGGCCAACGCGCACGGUGACACGCUGGCUGGACGAGGGCCUUUGUCAGAAGCCACGGGGACCUGGCGUUUCCGCACGACGGGAAAAACAAAGGCCUUCUGCCUGCCUGGCCGGGGUUGACAUUGGCUCACCCACUGAUCCCCGGGCUUUUGCAGGCAGAAUGAGUUCGUGCGAGAUCGCAGGACCUUGCCAUGAGUCACGCUCACUUUCUGUAAAUCCGAGUCAACAGCACACUUCCCCUUACUUUAGGCCAUUGCUUGAAGUUUUAGGUCACCCGGUGCUGUUUGCGUUAACAAGAGACUCGAAUAUUUCACAAGUCCUUUUUUUUUUUUUUUUUUUUAAAGGCAAAACCAACUUGGGGGGCAGAUUUAGAGUUGGAGUUUUGGUCGCUUCUAGCUCCCAAAAUAGGUUGGCCUUAUAUAUUAUUUACAUGUUUCAGAAGUAUGCCGUGUAAAAAUUCAAGGGAAACUUGCGAAAUAUUUUCUGGCAGGAGGCCCAGGAGGGGUUAUUCAGGGAGAUAACGAUGACUGGACCAGGCGUGGGAGCAAGACACGUAGGUGAGGAAACUAGCCCAGAGCUUCUUUUUUUUUUUUUUUUUACACCUAGAAAAAAAAAGUAAACACCUGCAGUUGAUCUGUACUGAGGAUUAUGGGCAAAUUUUGAUAUUCUGGGAAACAGACAAGAUGGGAUUAAAAGUAAAGAGACUUUUAAGAAUGUCAUUCAUUCCUUUUUUUAAGUAACCAUGUAAUUUAUCAUUUUUUGCCAAACUUGUAUUGCUUUUAACAAUAAAGUUUAACAGUAAAGAAAAAAAAAAAAAA